GGGGGACCGAACCCACAACGCAGACAUGUGCCCUGCCCAGGAAUCGGGCCUGCAACCUUUCGCUGUGCAGUCAUCCAACCUUCUAAGCCACACUGGUCAGGGCCCUUUACAAAAUUUUUAGAAUGUAUAGUAAAAAGAUUAAACAAGGACAGAAUUAUUGGCAAGCUAAGGAAUGAAUAUUGCAUUUCUAUUUUUAAGAAAAAUCACUAUAUUUAUAUUUGUAAUUUCUGCAUUCUCACCAUCAUUACUCCACACUAGGUGCUGCCGGUCACCUAAACUGUGGCACAAGUGUCCUUAUUCUUUUUUCUACAUCAGGCUUUCUUCACCUUCUCCCAUCUCCAGUGGAUCAAUAUAGGACGUAGAUGCCAGACAAUCUUCCUAAAGUAGAGUUAUGGUUGUGUUUACUUUCUUCAAACUUAGAUCCCUGCUUCUCAGACUUCAACAUUUAUACAGAUCACUUGGGGACCUUCUUGAAACACAGAUUCAGAUUGUGUAGGCUAUUGGUGGUGCCAGAGAAUGUGCAUUUGAGCAAGCUCCCAAGUACUGCCCAUGCCACUGCACUGAGCGCCACACUUGGAGUCAAGAGAGGCUGCUCUGGUUUUCUCAAGGUCUGCUGUGGUCUCCCCCUGGUCUUUCUGAUGAAAAGAUUGCACAAAGCCAAUCUCUGUUCACCACAGAUGACUCCAUACCUUUGCUCUUGCGACUCUUCUAACCAGGAAGUCACUUCAAGCCAGUUAACAUAAAGUACCUUGUGUUCUACGUACCUUGUCACAACCUGAGAAGUGAUGAACAAGAUGCAAUUCUUACAGUACUCCUCAUUGACAAUUUGUGUGGCUUGGCCUGCACUAGAGAUGUAGUUAACAGUAGUAAAGGAACCUGAAGAUUUUCCAUUUCCUGGUCAUGACAGGCUUCUCCUGAGGCCAUUAUUUGGGUUGGGUCUUGAAGGAUAAAGAGAAUUCAUGAGAAAAGGAAGAGAGCUCUAAGCAGAAGACAGAGGCUUGUGGAAGAGCACAGUGUAUUAAAAAAUCAGCUCUGUUUGGUGGGAAAUAAGAUGGAAACAUGUGAGUUAGUUAUGAAGGAUUCUGUCUGACAUACCAAAGAGUGUGUUUAGACAUUGCCUGUUGCUUUUAAGUAGAAGAUCAUGUCUUCUGUACUGGUUCCUAAUGAUAAGAACCUGGUGGUAAGGGUAAUUUCCUCCAUUUUCAUAUUUGUGUGCCUAUAAUAGAUCAAUAAUUAUCCAUCAAAUGAUCCAGUUUGGGUUUCUUUUUUUGUUCUUUGGUUUCCAAAAACAAAGGUAUAUGAGGAUGAUUACAAAGGACAGAGAAGCUCAAGGCAGGAAUGCCAAAUUAAAGGCAGUUGCAAUGGUUCACACGCCAGAUGAUGAAUAAAGGGAUCAGUUGCUGCCUGUGGGGAGAAGGAGAGGGUAGCCACCAUCUUUCCUUUACUCUUUGCAAAGUCACAGAUUGUAUUUAAGGCCCAACCUGACAGGUGCUCCCUCCAUAAAGCCUUCCUGCUUCUCGAAGUCUGGGAUGUCUACCUUGUCUAAACUCCCAGAACAGUGCAGAAUUUAGUGCUUUCUACCUUAAAUUCUAAUGAUAUGGAUCCUACCCCCAUAAUUUUUCAGUGUCAGACAGUAAAAUGUGGAUUAAUCUUUAGCUUAGUGUCCCAAGGGAUGGAGGAUAUUUUAAGUGAAGUGAAAACAGCCCACUUAGACCUAAUGCAGCCAGUUCUGUUGUAGUGUUAGCAUUUGUCCUUAGAAGUCAUCAAUUGGCUGAAGAAGUCAUAUGCCUUAUUUCACAACCCAGGGGUGCAGCUAAUGUCUGGCUUCAUUUUGAGGAACUAAGAGGGGACACACGGGAGGGCCUCUUCAUCUUUCUGCUUAGACUGAGUAAAAUGAAUGUGCAAAGGAACUUAUUGGCAAAAUUAUAAUGAUGACUGCUUAGAAUGCUGUUUCCUCACCAACAAAAAGAAACCUAUCCUUUCCAGGAAAAUCAUUUUUAAAUAGGGAACUUUGUGAUAACCUUUAUUGCAAUCAAUUUAUUAUAAGAAGAAAAUGGCUAUCAAAAUCCAUCAUCAAUUGUUUUAAAUUGUUUUCCCUUUCUUUUCUUUUUAGUUAACAUAAAAUAUAUUCUUAUUUUAGUUUGUUUUUCUUUUUUUUCUUUUUUUUGCUUUGGGGUUUUAAGAUUGACCACAGUGACUUAUCCCACGGAAGGCAAAACGUUUGAAAAAGUCAGUAUUUCAAAAAUCACUCAAAGAAUGUAUUUUUUCUUGGAAAUAAAGUCGAUUUUCUCAGCCCUGGUCAUAUGAGAUUAUGGGCAAGUAGUCCCUAGUCUGGCAUGUGGACAAAACAGAAGCAGACUCUGGAGAGAAAAAGUUCAAAAUCCAUGGCAGUAAGCACAUGUUCAGUAUGCCAAUAUUUAUGGUGUCAUGACCAAAUUAAAACCAUACCCUCUGCUAUUUACAUAAGUACAAUACCCAGACUACACAAGUUUAUGCCCACGUUUCUCAGUAGACUGAAGAUAAUACUAAUGUUUAGGACUCUUAGAGAUCAGACUAUUUAUUUUCAUGUUAUUCCACUCUGUGAAGGAGAGUGGAUUGUCGUCACAUUUCGAAGUCAGUCGGAGUUAGAAGACAUGGUAUUUAGCACGGGCGAAGACUGACUUUGUGAUUCUGUGUGCGGUGUGUUCCGUCAGCUGCAUCUGGAGCUCUCAGUGCCUGUGCUGGGGGGCGUUAGAUGUAUUGGCUUCUCGAGUGAAUGAGACUGCUUCUUAGAUGGAUGGGUAAUUCGCAGUCUUCCGUAUCUAGUGUUUUACUCAUGCUAUGAGAGAACCUGUUUUGAAAAAAAAAAUGGAUGCACUUACUUUGGAUGAAAAAGACAUGUUACAUGUCUUUUUGUGGCAACUUUUAAAGUUGAUAAAUUUUGAAAAAGUUUCAGAAGCAUUGUUAGGAGUACAUCUCAUUUCCCUAUAUUUACAAGACAAAGAAAUUUAGUAACUUAAAAUAUAAUAAAUAAUACUACUAUGAACUUGUGUAGCAAUAUAAGUGACACAGAUAAUACAUGAGCUACAGAGGCAUUACUGGAAAUAGAUUUUGGAGAAAAUAGCAUGUCACAUUUGCUUGCGGAUAUGACAUCUGAGUGGGGAUGCAUUUUUAAUGACCCUUUUGAGAGCACUAAUUCUUCCAGGAUUCCUUCAGUUUCUACAUUAGCUGAGAUUCUGUCAUCUGAAAAAUGACCUGGACUGGAACGGUAUGGAUCCACAUCUUUAAUAGGUUGGCAAUUUGGCUCUUUCAGGGAAUAGUCUUUGAACUUAGUAUCAACUGAAAGUUUUUCACAAUUGCUGAUGCAAUCUUUUGUGCAAGGGAGGAAGAUUUCUCAUUUGUAGGAUAAAAGAAAAAAUUAAGAAUAACUCCCAUGUGAGCAAAUCAAGCUCGAUGAUAUAAAUCUUUCUUUUAUAGUGGGAUAGAAUCUAAGGUAUUCAAGAAGUUAUUUUAUUUUUUUAGUUCCGUAAUUUAAACAUUGUGCUUAGCCUCUCUUUCAGUACUCCAAACAUUUGUUAUUAAGGUUUCCUUUGGUGCGUCCUUAAAAAGACAACAUUUAGCAUGUUUUCCUUAUAAAUUAUACUCGUCUUAAACAUAGACCAAACAGAAAACAAACUUUCCCAUUUUUGAAGACUCAUUGUUCAAUUGUUUUAUGCUCAGAAACUUAAAAAUGAUCACAGGUUUUUCUGGUCUUCCUUUGUCUUACUUUGGUGCUAAAAAAGAAAAAAAAAUCGGCCAGUUAUACUCUGGAUGUUUAAAUCUUGUGCUGAUUAAUACAAAUGCCAAGGAAACUGCCUUGGUCAUACAGGAAGAGGCUGAGGAAGACCACUGGCUGUUGCAGGUCACUAGCAGGACAGUUUCCUGGAUGUUUAGUGUUGAUGAUCUCAUCAGCCAUGUCUUAGGCAUUAAUGGAUAACGUUCCAGUACUCCCAAUAAUUUAAUGAAUAAGCAACAAUACACUUUAUUUAAAUGUUCUUGAAGAUUUUUAUUUGAAUUUCUAUAUAGUAAUAAAUAUUGAUAUCUACCUCAGUGACAUAUGACAAAUAAGUAUUACGUUCCCUAAGGAACUUGGCAGUAUAUUAUAUGUCUGUUUGUGAUAAGCAGUUUAUAAUUUAGCCUAACUUUAUCAUUAUUUUGUCACUCAAAACUCCUUAUUACUGACUAUUUCAUGACUCUUCUUAUCUUUUAUUGGAAAUAUUAUAUUUAUUUAAGUGUAUAGAGGAUGUUCAUAAAAUUGGGUAUUUGGUAAGUGCUCUAGAAAAAAGUUUUGCUUAUUUGAAAUACCCAGUAUUUUAAAAUCCAACAAAUCUACUCUUUGCCUAAAUAUUUUGUGUCUGUGUGAUAAACAGGGCAUUUUUUUGAUGUGACCAACACUUGUCAUUUCACUAUUUUAUGGCGGGGCACGGGGAUCUGAAGCAGAAGAAUAUUUCUGGGGAUGGAUUUGGGAUUUUCUUUACCGGUUUAGACAUUUCACUGUCUCUUUGCUUUUAAAAUAUAUGCUAGCAAUGGCCCAAAGUAUUUACGUGAGAAGCAAUUUUAGGGGCCUGCAUACAUUCGUGGAUUUAGGAAUGACUUACUUUGAGUCCUUGUACAAUGAAUCUGUGGUAAAUAGCAAGGAUUUUGUAUCUUUCCAACUGUAGACUGUGGAUCUCCAGGGUAAGAUUUUGGCUGAAUUGAGGAAGACCUUUCUCUGGCUAGAUUAAUAUCAUAAAACUAAGGCAGGCUCAGGAAUAGAAGCAGGGGUUGCCUUCUCUUCAUUGCACUGCACCAUUUGGGUUGUAUGUGAUAGAGUAGUAUGAUGGCUUUGGAUGUGCAUUCACUCAGGAGUCCUGGUCAACUUCUGCCCCAUGAGACAGUUUCAGAAGAACAUUGCCCUUUCAAAAGAUUGUUCAGUAAGAAAUGAAACAUUGAGAACCCUACAUUCACUAAUCACAGCUCACAUGGUUAAUAGGGACUUCAAAAUUAAAAUAAUAAUAUGUUGGUAUAGUCAAAAGCAACCAUAUAUAAAUACAGAAAUAUGUGUAUUGCAUAUUCCCUUUAAACUGUUUGUCUGUAUUGAUUGCAACAGGCAUUCAGAAAUUGAGAGAGCUAAUAAGUGAAUUUUUAAAAUUAUGAAAGUGAAAAUGUGAACUGCUGAUUUUAUUUUUUACAAUGACAUAUUAAUUGGCAUUUUGCUUUGACCUUUUUUGCCCAUUUUUAUCAAUUUUACAAUUCUGCAUUUUUCAAAAAUUUAAAGUCAUUUAGCAAUUAUAAACAUUUCAGAGACCUGUAAUUUUUUAGUGUAAAUAGUAUUUUUCCAACUCAAUACUGCUUUUCAAAUUUCCUCUUGAACUGUUGGGGAGGAGAAACAAAGCUCUUUUCUCUACCUUUUUAGGUUUGUUUACCACUGUGUGUGAAUUAAACUGACAAAGACAAAUAAGUAGGAAAAAAGACAUACAGAUUUUGUUAAUAUUUUAAAUUUUAUGUGCACAGAGCCUUCACAGAAUAUAAUGAAAAACACAAAGAAGCAACUAGACUCUGCCGCUUAUAUACCCCUUUAACAAAGGGCUGUACAUUGGGGUGAAGUGACUGGGAACUAUGUGGGGGACACAAAUGGGACAUGGGGUUCUCUUAGUAAGUUCUGUUUAUACACUCUCAUCUUGGGGCCUGCUCUCCAUCUCCAGGGACAAGGGUAGCUCUUCUCAUGCUGGUACUGGAAUUGGGGAGACAUUGAUGCCACCGUCUCAAACAGAAAUUUAUGCUAGGCUCUGAGGAAGAUAAAGGGCAGGGCAGAGAACUUUUCCUUCAUCUGUUGAUUCUCGAUUGCAUUCUUAGGCCAAAGUAGCAUAAUUUGGGUGGCAUAUUCUGGACCACGCCUUCGCAUUGGUUAUGACAUUUGACUUUUGCUAAUAGUAUAUGUAGCCUAGAAAAAAGGGUCACAGGUGAUGCUGGCGUAGUUGGGAAUGCUGGUGCUUGUGUACCUCUGAGUAAUGCCACUCUUAUUUUCUGGUGCAUGCUUGCU
Long non-coding RNA from Phyllostomus discolor (pale spear-nosed bat), 6040 nucleotides. RefSeq lists it as uncharacterized. The record is from RefSeq and is a predicted model, not a curated record. The transcript has 2 exons. NCBI's taxonomy places the organism in Eukaryota, Metazoa, Chordata, Mammalia, Chiroptera, Phyllostomidae.